This 77-nucleotide small RNA is filed under the name Salmonella enterica. RNAcentral's name for it is "partial RtT sRNA". It matches the Rfam family "RtT RNA", at positions 55 to 130 of the family's 130-position model. Rfam says of the family: This family represents a bacterial cis-regulatory element known as RtT RNA. The exact function of RtT is unknown although it is thought that it may be involved in changing the cellular response in relation to amino acid starvation. The record is from RNAcentral. Lineage: Bacteria; Pseudomonadati; Pseudomonadota; Gammaproteobacteria; Enterobacterales; Enterobacteriaceae.
AAGCGAGAAAGCGUUGCCGCAGGCAACGACCCGAAGGGCGAAGCGCGCAGCGCUGAGUAAUCCUUCCCCUACCACCA